RNAcentral lists this unclassified non-coding RNA (275 nucleotides) under uncultured cyanobacterium. RNAcentral's name for it is "partial contains 16S ribosomal RNA, 16S-23S ribosomal RNA intergenic spacer, and 23S ribosomal RNA". The stretch from base 1 to 122 matches the Rfam family "Bacterial small subunit ribosomal RNA", at positions 1414 to 1533 of the family's 1533-position model. The record is from RNAcentral. Lineage: Bacteria; Bacillati; Cyanobacteriota.
GUCACGCCCGAAGUCGUUACUCUAACCGGUUACGGAGGAGGGCGCCGAAGGCAGGGCUGAUGACUGGGGUGAAGUCGUAACAAGGUAGCCGUACCGGAAGGUGUGGCUGGAUCACCUCCUUUUAGGGAGACCUACCCUUGAUAACUCCGAACCAUUUUGAAUUAGGAGUAUUGAGCGGUCACUCUAGGUCGGUCAGGGCUUUGGAUAGAGUUUCUAGAUUAUGGUUGAGGUUUUGUCUAACCGACAGAACGCGGGCUAUUAGCUCAGGUGGUUAG